Molecule: long non-coding RNA, 344 nt
Organism: Gadus macrocephalus (Pacific cod)
Lineage: Eukaryota; Metazoa; Chordata; Actinopteri; Gadiformes; Gadidae
Exons: 2
Source: RefSeq, a predicted model, not a curated record
UAACCGCUCUGUCUGUCAGCCCAAGUUGCUUGUUGCUAAACGAGGACAGCUCCUUCGCGUUGCUCAGACCUAAUCCUGCGUUCCUCCCGAAGAACAUUAAUAGCCCACUAUGCAACUUCGGGCAUUUCUUCGCUGUUUUCUUGGUUUUGGCACGCACAUUUCUCUACACAGCGCCCCCUACAGCUUCGUAGUAGAUAUUUUACAACACUGUCGUAACAACUCGUUGACGACCCUUCCCCAUGCACUUCUACGCGAGCCAUGUGCAUUUGUUUUCAAAGAAGCCGGCGAAUGCGUGGAGCCAUGUCCGAAGUAGAUGUUCAUAAAGUGUAGGCAAGGUUAUACAU